This 29-nucleotide non-coding RNA is filed under the name Mus musculus (house mouse). The record is from RNAcentral. Lineage: Eukaryota; Metazoa; Chordata; Mammalia; Rodentia; Muridae.
UACAAGCUAUGGUAUCUCCUUCAACUUUU